Molecule: ribosomal RNA, 465 nt
Filed under: uncultured bacterium
Lineage: Bacteria
Description: partial 16S ribosomal RNA
Rfam family: Bacterial small subunit ribosomal RNA
Source: RNAcentral
CCUACGGGAGGCUGCAGUGGGGAAUAUUGCGCAAUGGGCGAAAGCCUGACGCAGCGACGCCGCGUGAGGGAUGAAGGUCUUCGGAUCGUAAACCUCUGUCAGCAGGGAAGAACGGUCACUGUGCUAAUCAGCAGUGAAUUGACGGUACCUGCACAGGAAGCACCGGCUAACUCCGUGCCAGCAGCCGCGGUAAUACGGAGGGUGCGAGCGUUAAUCGGAAUUACUGGGCGUAAAGCGCGCGUAGGCGGUAUGUCAAGUCAAGGGUGAAAUCCCCGCGCUCAACGUGGGAACUGCCUGUGAAACUGGCAAACUGGAGUGUGUGAGAGGAUAGUGGAAUGCCAGGUGUAGGAGUGAAAUGCGUAGAUAUCUGGAGGAACAUCAGUGGCGAAGGCGACUAUCUGGCACAUAACUGACGCUGAGGAGCGAAAGCGUGGGUAGCAAACAGGAUUAGAUACCCGAGUAGUC